Molecule: transfer RNA, 77 nt
Filed under: Photobacterium iliopiscarium
Lineage: Bacteria; Pseudomonadati; Pseudomonadota; Gammaproteobacteria; Vibrionales; Vibrionaceae
Description: tRNA-Arg
Rfam family: tRNA
About the family: Transfer RNA (tRNA) molecules are approximately 80 nucleotides in length. Their secondary structure includes four short double-helical elements and three loops (D, anti-codon, and T loops). Further hydrogen bonds mediate the characteristic L-shaped molecular structure. tRNAs have two regions of fundamental functional importance: the anti-codon, which is responsible for specific mRNA codon recognition, and the 3' end, to which the tRNAs corresponding amino acid is attached (by aminoacyl-tRNA synthetases). tRNAs cope with the degeneracy of the genetic code in two manners: having more than one tRNA (with a specific anti-codon) for a particular amino acid; and 'wobble' base-pairing, i.e. permitting non-standard base-pairing at the 3rd anti-codon position.
Source: RNAcentral
GCGCGCGUAGCUCAGCUGGAUAGAGUACUUGGCUACGAACCAGGCGGUCGGAGGUUCGAAUCCUUCCGCGCGCACCA